GAAGGAAGUCAGGUUAGGAACUCAAGC
This 27-nucleotide non-coding RNA is filed under the name Cricetulus griseus (Chinese hamster). The record is from RNAcentral. Lineage: Eukaryota; Metazoa; Chordata; Mammalia; Rodentia; Cricetidae.